This 25-nucleotide non-coding RNA is filed under the name Drosophila melanogaster (fruit fly). Lineage: Eukaryota; Metazoa; Arthropoda; Insecta; Diptera; Drosophilidae. The record is from RNAcentral.
UAGUUGUUGUUGCAUGUCAUUUCGA